This 460-nucleotide ribosomal RNA is filed under the name uncultured bacterium. RNAcentral describes it as "partial 16S ribosomal RNA". It matches the Rfam family "Bacterial small subunit ribosomal RNA", at positions 338 to 795 of the family's 1533-position model. The record is from RNAcentral.
CCUACGGGUGGCAGCAGUGAGGAAUAUUGGUCAAUGGACGAGAGUCUGAACCAGCCAAGUAGCGUGAAGGAUGACGGCCCUAUGGGUUGUAAACUUCUUUUAUAUGGGAGUAAAAUGUUCUACGUGUAGGAUUUUGUAUGUACCAUAUGAAUAAGGAUCGGCUAACUCCGUGCCAGCAGCCGCGGUAAUACGGAGGAUCCGAGCGUUAUCCGGAUUUAUUGGGUUUAAAGGGAGCGUAGGUGGGUUGUUAAGUCAGUUGUGAAAGUUUGCGGCUCAACCCUGAAAUUGCCGUUGAAACUGGCAGUCUAGAGUACAGUAGAGGUAGGCGGAAUUCGUGGUGUAGCGGUGAAAUGCUUAGAUAUCACGCAGAACUCCGAUUGCGAAGGCAGCUCACUGGACUGCAACUGACACUGAGGCUCGAAAGUGUGGGUAUCAAACAGGAUUAGAUACCCGUGUAGUC